AUCAGGCUAUUGUUCCACUCACAUAAGAAGAGCAGUCCAAGUCAAGGCUCCAUGCUGCCUUCCAUUGCAUCCUCAUCCCUACAGUAUCUGUUUCUAUCUGAUGAUAGAUAGAGGCCAGUUCUGCAGCAGUGAUGAAAACCAGGCCAGCGCCGACCCGGCUAUAAACCGGUGGAUGCACAUCGCUGCCCUGGGAUUGGUGGUGGAAGACGGUUACUGUGGGGACGGCCUGUGUGCAGGGGGCUGAUAAGAGGUAGCCGGUUAAAUCCAGCGGAAUGAAACGAGACCACGGGACAGGUCUGCGUUCGCCAGGGCUCUGACGGUGCGUCACCGAUGUAUCUGAUUAUUUACAUGUCUGUCUGUCUGACUGUCUGACGUGGCACUGGAUCUGAACCGUAGAUGAAUCAAUCGCUACCAUCUCGUUUGCAGCUCAGCGGAGCUCAGCUGGAGCCAAGAGCAUGAUGGAACAGAGGGGGAAAAUAUUGUGCUCUGACGUCAUUGGAAAACAGGGCACACUUUCAACCUUUGGAUGACUGGUUUGUUUUCAACCUUUCUGAGCAGAGAAAACAUCAAAUAUUGGCCUUAGUGGACAAAUGAGUCUGUGUUUGUUCCCUGUCUUGACGGAUGUUCUGAGCUGGGACCAGGAGACCAGUUGAUUAGCUUUGAUAGGGAAAGUGAUUGAUAUAAAGCCGCUUUGAUAAGGCUGAUGACAGUGGUGAUGUUUACCAGCUUACAUCUCCUUUCAGUUUCAGUUUUCAGACAGCUGGCUAGGUGUCAAGCUUUGACAGCAUCUAGGAAAUGCUUUUCAGCUGAGCUACAGAGUGACAGGAGCUAUUGUCUAUAUUAUUGUACUGUAGAUACUCAAUGAAUCACCGUGAAUAAAUACAGUUUCAUUCCAACAGUU
This is a long non-coding RNA of Oncorhynchus kisutch (coho salmon), 901 nucleotides long. RefSeq lists it as uncharacterized. The record is from RefSeq and is a predicted model, not a curated record. Lineage: Eukaryota; Metazoa; Chordata; Actinopteri; Salmoniformes; Salmonidae. The transcript has 2 exons.